Molecule: ribosomal RNA, 467 nt
Filed under: uncultured bacterium
Lineage: Bacteria
Description: partial 16S ribosomal RNA
Rfam family: Bacterial small subunit ribosomal RNA
Source: RNAcentral
GACGAACGCUGGCGGCGUGCUUAACACAUGCAAGUCGAACGGAAAGGCCCUGCUUUUGUGGGGUGCUCGAGUGGCGAACGGGUGAGUAACACGUGAGUAACCUGCCCUUGACUUUGGGAUAACUUCAGGAAACUGGGGCUAAUACCGGAUAGGAGCUCCUGCUGCAUGGUGGGGGUUGGAAAGUUUCGGCGGUUGGGGAUGGACUCGCGGCUUAUCAGCUUGUUGGUGGGGUAGUGGCUUACCAAGGCUUUGACGGGUAGCCGGCCUGAGAGGGUGACCGGCCACAUGGGGACUGAGAUACGGCCCAGACUCAUACGGGAGGAAGAAGUGGGGAAUAUUGCACAAUGGGCGGAAGCCUGAUGCAGCAACGCCGCGUGCGGGAUGACGGCCUUCGGGUGGUAAACCGCUUUCGCCUGUGACGAAGCGUGAGUGACGGGAAUGGGGAAAGAAACACCGGCUAACUACGG